GUGUUUUCAGACGGUGCAAGAGUUCUCAGGUGUGCUGGGUGACAGGUGCGACUUAUUCUACUGAUUACUUUGAGGAGUACUUAAGCAGGAGGCUGCCAGCACUUUGACAGAGUGUUUGCCCUCAGUGGCUAAGUAAACCUAAGUCCUGGAUUUAUGUCACUGAAUACUGUCUACAUGUCCGGGAGGCUUUCUGGAUGAUCAAGACUAUCUACGUUUUGAGGACUUCGUUUCCUAUCUCCUGUCUUCAUUUGUAUUUGCAUCAAGCUGGCAGUUUCCUGCAACCUUUGUCUCCUGGACCAAGCCGUAAGCGUACCCUGUCCACCCUCCAACGUAAGCAUCUGCACACCGAACUCAUUCCUGUUUGCUCCGAGCUCACACAGAACAGCACCUAAAGGACCUUCUACAAACUCUAAUUCAACAAACCUGGUUCCUGAAUCCUUCUACCCCUGGCGACCUGACCACACCUAUUUAUUGGAGAAUCAUCCGUUACGUUCCUGAUUAUCUUUCUCUCAAUAAACAUCCUUUACUUCUUCUGUUCUCUGGAGUGUUCUCUGUAUGUGGGUCAGAUCUAUUGCAAACAAAAUGACAAUAUCUUCCUACUGGAUUAUAAACC
Long non-coding RNA from Girardinichthys multiradiatus, 613 nucleotides. RefSeq lists it as uncharacterized. Lineage: Eukaryota; Metazoa; Chordata; Actinopteri; Cyprinodontiformes; Goodeidae. The record is from RefSeq and is a predicted model, not a curated record. The transcript has 3 exons.